This 1941-nucleotide ribosomal RNA is filed under the name Saccinobaculus doroaxostylus. RNAcentral's name for it is "SSU rRNA". It matches the Rfam family "Eukaryotic small subunit ribosomal RNA". The record is from RNAcentral. Lineage: Eukaryota; Preaxostyla; Oxymonadida; Saccinobaculidae.
AAAGAUUAAGCCAUGCACGUCUCAGUAUAAGCAAUUUAAACUGUGAAACUGCGGAUGGCUCAUUAACUCAGUUUUAAUUUACUUGAUAAUGAUUUACUACUUGGAUACCUGUUGUAAUUCAAGAGUUAAUACAUGCGUAAAGGCCUGACUCGAGAGGGAAGGGCUGUGUUUAUUAGAUCGAAAACCAGCGGGGUGGGGCGGUCAGCAAUGGCUUGUUUCACCCAUUUAUGCUUGGUGAGUCAUGAUAAAUGUCGAAUCGGGCAUCAGCCCGAUGUGUCAUUCAAAAUUCUGCCCUAUCAACUGUUGAUGGUAGGAUAGGGGCCUACCAUGGUUUUGACGGGUAACGGAGAAUUAGGGUUCGAUUCCGGAGAGGGAGCCUGAGAGAUGGCUACCACUUCCAAGGAAGGCAGCAGGCGCGCAAAUUACCCAAUCCCAAUCAACUUGGGGAGGUAGUGACAAAAAAUAGUAAUGCAGGGUGGUUAUCCACUACUGCAAUUGCAAUGGCUCGGACGUAAAUACUCCGGGGAGCAGCCAUUAGAGGGCAAGUCUGGUGCCAGCAGCCGCGGUAAUUCCAGCUCUAAAAGUGUAUAUUAAAAUUGCUGCAGUUAAAAAGCUCGUAGUUGGAUUUUGGAGGGGACAGUACGCUCUUGCGUUUUGUUGUGCUUCUUCGUUCGUGGUUGUCCUUCCAAAAGGCGCCGCGACGGUUGUACGGCCGUAGGGGUUGUCUCUUCCGUUAUUUUUCGGAGCUCUGUGGCGGCCUUUACUGCGUCGCUGCGGGGAUUCGGAGAGUUUACUUUGAAGAGAAUGUAAUGCUCAAAAUAAUUUUUUUUUGAUACUGUACAUUUUAGCAUGGAAUAAUAAAAUAGGACAACUGUGUUCUCUUACCAGUUUUGUUCGGCGCUCGUUUCAAUUAGUCUGCUGCACCGCAGCAAUGCGUGUUUUUGCAGCGGACGGGCGGGCGUGUCUUUGGGCAAUUCAACGGGGGAGUUCUACAUUUUUGUAUCCGUUUUGUUGGUUCAUGGAGCAGUUGUAAUGAUUAAUAGGGACAGUUGGGGGCAUCUGUAUUGCAUUGUCAGAGGUGAAAUUCUUGGAUUUAUGCAAGACAAACUAGUGCGAAAGCAUUUGCCAAGGAUGUUUUCAUUAAUCAAGAACGAAAGUUAGGGGAUCGAAGGCGAUCAGAAACCGCCGUAGUCUUAACCAUAAACGAUACCAUCUCUGUUUCGGAAGGUUUUUGCCAAAUUCAUUAGGCCCUCUCGGCGCAGUUAGAGAAAUCAAAGUCUCUGGGUUCUGGGGGGAGUAUGGCUGCAAAGCUGAAACUUAAAGAAAUUGACGGAAGGGCACCACCAGGUGUGGAGCCUGCGGCUUAAUUUGACUCAACACGGGGAAACUUACCAGGUCCGGACACGGGAAGGAUUGACAGAUUGAUAGCUCUUUCUUGAUUCCGUGGGUGGUGGUGCAUGGUCGUUCUUAGUUGGUGGAGUGAUUUGUCUGGUUAAUUCCGAUAACGAACGAGACCUCAAUCUGCUAAAUAGGCGGUCAACGGGCUUUCCGCUCGAUGACUAUUAGCCUUCUUAGAGAGACUACCUUAGUUGCAUAAGGGGGAAGCAUGAGGCAAUAACAGGUCUGUGAUGCCCUUAGAUGACCUGGGCCGCACGCGCGCUACAAUGAUGCAGUCAACAAGUCUGUCCGAGCCCGAAAGGGUGAGGCAAUCUUCUCAAACUGCAUCGUGCUGGGGAUUGAUCUUUGUAAUUUUGGAUCAUCAACUAGGAAUACCUCGUAGGCGUUUAUCAUCAAUAAGCGUCGACUACGUCCCUGCCCUUUGUACACACCGCCCGUCGCUCCUACCGAUUGAAUGAUCAGACGAAAUGCUUGGAUUGUGCGUUUGUGGAUGUUUCGGCGUUUACGAAUGCGCGAGAAGAGUAGUAAAUCUUAUUAUUUAGA